RNAcentral lists this ribosomal RNA (253 nucleotides) under uncultured bacterium. RNAcentral describes it as "partial 16S ribosomal RNA". It matches the Rfam family "Bacterial small subunit ribosomal RNA", at positions 524 to 776 of the family's 1533-position model. The record is from RNAcentral.
UACGGGGGGGGCAAGCGUUGUUCGGAAUUACUGGGCGUAAAGGGCGCGUAGGCGGCCUGCUAAGUCGGACGUGAAAUCCCUCGGCUCAACCGAGGAACUGCGUCCGAUACUGGUGGGCUUGAAUCCGGGAGAGGGAUGUGGAAUUCCAGGUGUAGCGGUGAAAUGCGUAGAUAUCUGGAGGAACACCGGUGGCGAAGGCGGCAUCCUGGACCGGUAUUGACGCUGAGGCGCGAAAGCGUGGGGAGCGAACAGG